This 78-nucleotide small nuclear RNA is filed under the name Homo sapiens (human). RNAcentral's name for it is "partial ncRNA". The record is from RNAcentral. Lineage: Eukaryota; Metazoa; Chordata; Mammalia; Primates; Hominidae.
AGAUAAUGGCGUGAACCCGGGAGACACACUUGCAGUGAGCCAAGAUCAUGCCACUGCACUCCAGCCUGGGUGACAGAA